This 263-nucleotide long non-coding RNA is filed under the name Salvia miltiorrhiza (redroot sage). Its description in RNAcentral is "long non-coding RNA (SMIL_LNC008819)". The record is from RNAcentral. Lineage: Eukaryota; Viridiplantae; Streptophyta; Magnoliopsida; Lamiales; Lamiaceae.
UCCGGCAAGAAGUGGUUGAUCAAAAGAGUUUCAAAUACUGUAAAUUUCCAGAAAAGUAAUUGAUGAAAAUAAUUUCAAAUAUUGGAAAUUUUCAAUUUUAAUGAAUCGUGGGAGAGAGAAUCAUGGUUAACAAUCGUGGGAAAGAAAGAAUAUGAGAAAAAUAAGAAAGAUGAAAUAUACGGGAUAACAACCGUUGAGAAUGUGGAACAGUGGAAGUGAUAAAUCAUACGUAUGUAUAGGAUAUCUGUUAGCGGGAUGACAAU